Molecule: long non-coding RNA, 754 nt
Filed under: Homo sapiens (human)
Lineage: Eukaryota; Metazoa; Chordata; Mammalia; Primates; Hominidae
Description: non-protein coding SNHG1:18
Source: RNAcentral
CUUAUUGGGCUCCUGUCUGCAGGAUUUACGCGCACGUUGGAACCGAAGAGAGCUCUGUUGUUGCAAUGUUCAGCCCACAAGAGCUUACUGGUGAAGGAAUGGGACAAGACCCAUCUUUAUGCAAAGCCAGCGUUACAGUAAUGUUCCAGGUAUUCCUGAUGACAGUCUGCCUCUAUCUUACAGUACUACUAACCAAUAACCUGCUUGGCUCAAAGGGCCAGCACCUUCUCUCUAAAGCCCAAGAGGAGUUUGAGGAAAACUAGGUGUCUGUGUUCACUCCAGGCUGAAGUUACAGGUCUGAGCAAAUAAGGUGUAUAAAAAAUGGAAUCUGUCUUGGAGGACAUCAGAAGGUGAAUUUUCCAAGUUCUUGGACAACCUAGCUGUUGAAAAGCUUUCUGGGUUUGGGGGGUAUUUCAGAUGUACCUUAAAGUGUUAGCAGACACAGAUUAAGACACUGGGAGCCAAUGAAACAGCAGUUGAGGGUUUGCUGUGUAUCACAUUUCUGUAUUUUAUCACCCCCUUCCUGCAACAUUAUUUAUCUGGAAUCUACCUGCCCUUUUGUUUUUUAGAUACAAGGGCUUGGUUUUGUUACCCAGGCUGGUUUCAAGGCCAUAGCUUUAAGAGAUCCUCUCACCACAGAUUUCCAAAGUGCUGGGAUUGCAGGUGUGAUUCAUGGCACCCAGACUUUGCUGCCUUUCUUACAUGAUCCAGGCCCAGAACCCAAACUCAGGCACUGUAUAGAUGACCACUUUCG